GGAAGAGAUAGAGGGAGAGAGAGAGGAGGAGAAAUAGACAGACAGACUGUAUGAUUAACAGUGAGAAGAGGUCAGGGGGGAGGGGGGAGGGGGGGCGAGUGUCUUUAUCAUAUUGGUCUGUUGACAGAAAGCAUAGCUGCGUCAUGUGACUCCACUAAUCAGGUCAUAGGGAGCAGCUGUGAGCCACAGACAGAUCCUGCAGCCAUGUGAGUGCUCGUAACCACGACAACGGCGCACCUGUGCUCAUUAACGAGCUGCUGCAAAAGUGCAGACACAGGACAGCGAGUUACACAGAAUCCACACCUCAAACAAAUGGGAACCAGCGAAAAACUAUAACAGCUAUCUAAAAAAUACGCCGUUUGUAUGAGACCCAAGACUCUACCGAACGCGUGGAUGUGCUUUUUAUGUCUGUCCGGUAAUAAAUACGGCUCCUAUGGCCGUUGA
This is a long non-coding RNA of Gasterosteus aculeatus aculeatus (three-spined stickleback), 444 nucleotides long. NCBI's taxonomy places the organism in Eukaryota, Metazoa, Chordata, Actinopteri, Perciformes, Gasterosteidae. The record is from Ensembl.